AUCUGCAAAGACAUUUCAGCUCGCUGUACUUGGUGGAACAGCUGAACCCGUCUAUGGAUUAAUAAGAAAAGAGGCUGAACUGAAACCAGAAGUGACCGAAACCAUACGCAGCAUCACAUGGAAGAAACAGAAGGACAAAAUAGCCGAGUGGGACGGAAGUGAUAAACCGGAAUAUUAUGGCAGAUGUUCGAAAGACCAGUGUGACCUGAGUCCCACAACUGGGGUGCUGGUAAUGAAAGGGUUAAAACGAGAAGAUGAAUGGACAUAUUCUGCUGAAAUAAAUGGGAAAACAUCUCAAGAGGAGUUUCUGGUGACUGUACUUGAUCCUGUGUCCAAACCUAGAGUGA
Molecule: long non-coding RNA, 347 nt
Organism: Scleropages formosus (Asian bonytongue)
Lineage: Eukaryota; Metazoa; Chordata; Actinopteri; Osteoglossiformes; Osteoglossidae
Exons: 3
Source: RefSeq, a predicted model, not a curated record